AGUGAACGCUGGCGGUAGGCCUAACACAUGCAAGUCGAACGGCAGCACAGUAAGAGCUUGCUCUUACGGGUGGCGAGUGGCGGACGGGUGAGGAAUACAUCGGAAUCUACUUUUUCGUGGGGGAUAACGUAGGGAAACUUACGCUAAUACCGCAUACGACCUACGGGUGAAAGCAGGGGAUCUUCGGACCUUGCGCGAUUGAAUGAGCCGAUGUCGGAUUAGCUAGUUGGCGGGGUAAAGGCCCACAAAGGCGACGAUCCGUAGCUGGUCUGAGAGGAUGAUCAGCCACACUGGAACUGAGACACGGUCCAGACUCCUACGGGAGGAAGCAGUGGGGAAUAUUGGACAAUGGGCGAAAGCCUGAUCCAGCCAUACCGCGUGGGUGAAGAAGGCCUUCGGGUUGUAAAGCCCUUUUGUUGGGAAAGAAAAGCAGCAGGUUAAUACCCCGCUGUUCUGACGGUACCCAAAGAAUAAGCACCGGCUAACUUCGUG
This 492-nucleotide ribosomal RNA is filed under the name uncultured bacterium. RNAcentral's name for it is "partial 16S ribosomal RNA". It matches the Rfam family "Bacterial small subunit ribosomal RNA", at positions 29 to 507 of the family's 1533-position model. The record is from RNAcentral.